Molecule: ribosomal RNA, 1111 nt
Filed under: uncultured bacterium
Lineage: Bacteria
Description: bacterial SSU rRNA
Rfam family: Bacterial small subunit ribosomal RNA
Source: RNAcentral
CUGCGGGAGGCAGCAGUAGGGAAUUUUCGUCAAUGGCGCAGCCUGAACGAGCAAUGCCGCGUGAGUGAGAAGUCUUCGGAUCGUAAAGCUCUGUGUAAGGGAAAAAGGGAUAUAAGAGGAAAUGCUUAUAUUUUGAUGGUACCUUACCAGAAAGUCACGGCUAACUACGUGCCAGCAGCCGCGGUAAUACGUAGGUGGCGAGCGUUAUCCGGAAUGAUUGGGCGUAAAGGGUGCGCAGGCGGCAUGUCAAGUCUGAAGUGAAAGGUACCAGCUUAACUGGUACAGGCUUUGGAAACUGGCAUGCUAGAGGACAGGAGAGGGCGGUGGAACUCCAUGUGUAGCGGUAAAAUGCGUAGAUAUAUGGAAGAACACCAGUGGCGAAGGCGGCCGCCUGGACUGUUGCUGACGCUCAGGCACGAAAGCGUGGGGAGCAAAUAGGAUUAGAUACCCUAGUAGUCCACGCCCUAAACGAUGAGGAGCAGGUGUCGGGGGUAGAGCCCCGGUGCCGAAGCCAACGCAGUGACUCCUCCGCCUGGGGAGUAUGCACGCAAGUGUGAAACUCAAAGGAAUUGACGGGGGCCCGCACAAGCGGUGGAGUAUGUGGUUUAAUUCGAAGCAACGCGAAGAACCUUACCAGGCCUUGACAUGGGAUGCGAAGGUGCAGAGAUGCGCUGGAGGUUAUCAUCCACACAGGUGGUGCAUGGUUGUCGUCAGCUCGUGUCGUGAGAUGUUCAGUUAAGUCUGGCAACGAGCGCAACCCUCGUGAUAUGUUGCUAACAUUCAGUUGAGGACUCAUAUCAGACUGCCGGUACAAACCGGAGGAAGGUGGGGAUGACGUCAAAUCAUCAUGCCCCUUAUGGCCUGGGCUACACACGUACUACAAUGGCAUCUACGAAGGGAAGCGAACCUGUGAAGGGAAGCGAACCCCACAAAAGAUGUCCCAGUUCGGAUUGAAGUCUGCAACCCGGCUUCAUGAAGUUGGAAUCGCUAGUAAUCGCAGAUCAGCAUGCUGCGGUGAAUACGUUCCCGGGCCUUGUACACACCGCCCGUCAAACCAUGGAAGCCGGCAACGCCCGAAGCCGAUGGCAUAACCCGCAAGGGAGUGAGUCGU